GUAGGGGGCAAGCGUUAUCCGGAUNUACUGGGUGUAAAGGGAGCGUAGACGGCUUUGCAAGUCUGAUGUGAAAGGCGGGGGCUCAACCCCUGGACUGCAUUGGAAACUGUGAGGCUUGAGUGCCGGAGAGGUAAGCGGAAUUCCUAGUGUAGCGGUGAAAUGCGUAGAUAUUAGGAGGAACACCAGUGGCGAAGGCGGCUUACUGGACGGUAACUGACGUUGAGGCUCGAAAGCGCGGGGAGCAAACAGGAUUAGAUACCCUGGUAGUCCACGCGGUAAACGAUGAAUACUAGGUGUUGGGUGUCACAGACAUUCGGUGCCGCAGCAAACGCAAUAAGUAUUCCACCUGGGGAGU
This 355-nucleotide ribosomal RNA is filed under the name uncultured bacterium. Its description in RNAcentral is "bacterial SSU rRNA". It matches the Rfam family "Bacterial small subunit ribosomal RNA", at positions 527 to 881 of the family's 1533-position model. The record is from RNAcentral.